UACGGAGGAUCCAAGCGUUAUCCGGAAUCAUUGGGUUUAAAGGGUCCGUAGGCGGUUUUGUAAGUCAGUGGUGAAAGCCCAUCGCUCAACGGUGGAACGGCCAUUGAUACUGCAAGACUUGAAUUAUUGGGAAGUAACUAGAAUAUGUAGUGUAGCGGUGAAAUGCUUAGAUAUUACAUGGAAUACCAAUUGCGAAGGCAGGUUACUACCAAUAUAUUGACGCUGAUGGACGAAAGCGUGGGGAGCGAACAGG
Molecule: ribosomal RNA, 253 nt
Filed under: uncultured bacterium
Lineage: Bacteria
Description: partial 16S ribosomal RNA
Rfam family: Bacterial small subunit ribosomal RNA
Source: RNAcentral